UACGUAGGGUGCGAGCGUUGUCCGGAUUUAUUGGGCGUAAAGAGCUUGUAGGCGGCUCGUCGCGUCGGGUGUGAAAACUUGCGGCUUAACCGCAAGCCUGCACCCGAUACGGGCGGGCUAGAGUUCGGCAGGGGAGACUGGAAUUCCUGGUGUAGCGGUGGAAUGCGCAGAUAUCAGGAGGAACACCGGUGGCGAAGGCGGGUCUCUGGGCCGAUACUGACGCUGAGGAGCGAAAGUGUGGGGAGCGAACAGG
RNAcentral lists this ribosomal RNA (253 nucleotides) under uncultured bacterium. RNAcentral's name for it is "partial 16S ribosomal RNA". It matches the Rfam family "Bacterial small subunit ribosomal RNA", at positions 524 to 776 of the family's 1533-position model. The record is from RNAcentral.